Molecule: ribosomal RNA, 355 nt
Filed under: uncultured bacterium
Lineage: Bacteria
Description: bacterial SSU rRNA
Rfam family: Bacterial small subunit ribosomal RNA
Source: RNAcentral
AGAGUUUGAUCAUGGCUCAGGAUGAACGCUAGCUACAGGCUUAACACAUGCAAGUCGAGGGGAAACGACAUCGAAAGCUUGCUUUUGAUGGGCGUCGACCGGCGCACGGGUGAGUAACGCGUAUCCAACCUGCCCACCACUUGGGGAUAACCUUGCGAAAGUAAGACUAAUACCCAAUGACGUCUUUAGAAGACAUCUGAAGGAGAUUAAAGAUUUAUCGGUGAUGGAUGGGGAUGCGUCUGAUUAGCUUGUUGGCGGGUAACGGCCCACCAAGGCGACGAUCGAGUAGGGGUUCUGAGAGGAAGGUCCCCCACGAUUGGAACUGAGACCAGGUCCAAACGUCCUACGGGAGGCA